UGAAUACGAGAUGCUACGGCGUCGAAGCAGUCUAUGUCACACUUCCAAGAAAAGCUUGCACUGUCAUAAACAAAUAAUGCCUGUACCAUAACCGACACAGGUGGGUAGGUAGAGUAUACUAAGGGGCGCGAGAUAACUCUCUCUAAGGAACUCGGCAAAAUGACUCCGUAACUUCGGGAGAAGGAGUGCCUUAUUUAUAAGGUUGCAAUAACAAGAUCCAAGCAACUGUUUAUCAAAAACACAGGUCUCCGCUAAGUCGUAAGACGAUGUAUGGGGGCUGACGCCUGCCCAGUGCCAGAAGGUUAAAGAAGUUGGUUAGUGUAUGCGAAGCUGAUGACUGAAGCCCUGGUGAACGGCGGCCGUAACGAUAACGGUCCUAAGGUAGCGAAAUUCCUUGUCGGGUAAGUUCCGACCCGCACGAAAGGCGUAAUGAUUUGGAUACUGUCUCGGAGAGAGGCUCGGUGAAAUAGACUUGUCUGUGAAGAUGCGGCCUACCUGCACCAGGACAGAAAGACCCUAUGAAGCUUUACUGUAACUUGAAAUUGGAAUUGGACUUUGCUUGCGCAGUAUAGGUGGGAAGCGUUGAAGAUAUUCUUGCGGGAGUAUUGGAGCUAUCAGUGAGAUACCACUCUUGUAAUGUUAGAUUUCUAACUUUGAACCAUAAUCUGGUCAAAGAACAGUUUCAGGUGGGCAGUUUGACUGGGGCGGUCGCCUCCCAAAUGGUAACGGAGGCGUACAAAGGUUUCCUCUGAACGGAUAGAAAUCGUAUCUAGAGUGUAAAGGCAUAAGGAAGCUUGACUGUGAGACCUACAAGUCGAGCAGGGACGAAAGUCGGUCUUAGUGAUCUGACGGUACUGAGUGGAAAGGCCGUCACUCAACGGAUAAAAGUUACUCUAAGGAUAACAGGCUGAUCUCCCCCAAGAGUUCACAUCGACGGGGAGGUUUGGCACCUCGAUGUCGGCUCAUCGCAUCCUGGGGCGGUAGUACGUCCCAAGGGUUGGGCUGUUCGCCCAUGAAAGCGGUACGCGAGCUGGGUUCAGAACGUCGUGAGACAGUUCGGUCCAUAUCCGGUGUAGGCGUUAGAAUAUUGAGAGGAGCCUUCUUUAGUACGAGAGGACCGAGAAGGACACACCGCCGGUGUACCAGUUAUCGUGCCAACGGUAAACGCUGGGUAGCUAUGUGUGGAGUGGAUAACCGCUGAAGGCAUCUAAGUGGGAAGCCCACCUCAAGAUGAG
Molecule: ribosomal RNA, 1235 nt
Filed under: metagenome
Description: bacterial LSU rRNA
Rfam family: Bacterial large subunit ribosomal RNA
Source: RNAcentral